GCCACGGUGGUCUAGCGGUUAGAACGCUGGCCUUGUAAUCCUGGGGUCUCGGGUUUGAUUCCCGGCGGUGCCC
Molecule: non-coding RNA, 73 nt
Organism: Zootermopsis nevadensis
Lineage: Eukaryota; Metazoa; Arthropoda; Insecta; Blattodea; Termopsidae
Source: Rfam